Molecule: ribosomal RNA, 316 nt
Filed under: uncultured bacterium
Lineage: Bacteria
Description: bacterial SSU rRNA
Rfam family: Bacterial small subunit ribosomal RNA
Source: RNAcentral
GAUGAACGCUAGCGGCAGGCUUAACACAUGCAAGUCGAGGGGCAGCAUGAUGAAACUUUCGGGUUUCAUUGAUGGCGACCGGCGCAAGGGUGCGUAACGCGUGAGCAACUUGCCCUUAUCAGGGGAAUAACCGGUGGAAACGCCGACUAAUACCCCAUAGCAUCACUUUAAGGCAUCUUUUAGUGAUUAAAGAAUUUCGGAUAAGGAUAGGCUCGCGUGACAUUAGCUAGAUGGCGGGGUAACGGCCCACCAUGGCGACGAUGUCUAGGGGUUCUGAGAGGAAGGUCCCCCACACUGGAACUGAGACACGGUCCAG